AUUGAACGCUAGCGGGAUGCUUUACACAUGCAAGUCGAACGGCAGCGCGGACUUCGGUCUGGCGGCGAGUGGCGAACGGGUGAGUAAUGUAUCGGAACGUGCCCAGUAGCGGGGGAUAACUACGCGAAAGCGUAGCUAAUACCGCAUACGCCCUACGGGGGAAAGCAGGGGAUCGUAAGACCUUGCACUAUUGGAGCGGCCGAUAUCGGAUUAGCUAGUUGGUGAGGUAACGGCUCACCAAGGCGACGAUCCGUAGCUGGUUUGAGAGGACGACCAGCCACACUGGGACUGAGACACGGCCCAGACUCCUACGGGAGGCAGCAGUGGGGAAUUUUGGACAAUGGGGGCAACCCUGAUCCAGCCAUCCCGCGUGUGCGAUGAAGGCCUUCGGGUUGUAAAGCACUUUUGGCAGGAAAGAAACGUCGCGGGCUAAUACCCCGUGGAACUGAUGGUACCUGCAGAAUAAGCACCGGCUAACUACGUG
This 484-nucleotide ribosomal RNA is filed under the name uncultured bacterium. RNAcentral describes it as "partial 16S ribosomal RNA". It matches the Rfam family "Bacterial small subunit ribosomal RNA", at positions 30 to 507 of the family's 1533-position model. The record is from RNAcentral.